Long non-coding RNA from Oreochromis niloticus (Nile tilapia), 3574 nucleotides. RefSeq lists it as uncharacterized. The record is from RefSeq and is a predicted model, not a curated record. NCBI's taxonomy places the organism in Eukaryota, Metazoa, Chordata, Actinopteri, Cichliformes, Cichlidae. The transcript has 3 exons.
GUCGUCGUUAUCUUGUAGGUUCUUCCAUCUAAUUCAAAUUAGCUUUAUUUGGCUUGACAGUGAUUAAGGACAUGCAUGACUGCGCAAGCAAAGCAGGUAGCCUGCAGUAUUUAGGAAUCCAGUGUUUUGUGGUUAUUAAAGCAGGCAGUAUUGUUAGUGAAAUGAGUAGGCUAGCUAAUAUUAGCUGCAAUUCACAGACAGAAUUACCCUGAGUGUACUAUUAUUUUAAUAUGGCCUUUAGUGUUACUACCCGUUUUCUACGAAACUAUGGUAAUGAUACUUUUAAAGCUGGGCACUUUAUUAGGUACACCGGGUUGUAAUGCUUAGAACUGCCUUCAGAACUGCCUCAUUUCUUCAUAGCAAAGAUGCAACAGUGUUCAGGCAGGCUGUGGUGUUUAAAUGAUGCUCAGUUGGUACUAAGUGUGUCAGGAAAAUAUCUCCCACACUGUUACACCACCAGCAGCACACUGAAGCGGUGAUACAAGCCAGGAUGGAUCCAUGCUUUAAUGUUGUUUAUGCCAAAUUCUGACCCAACUAUCUGAUUGUUGCUGCAGAUUUCAAGACUCAUCGAACAGGAGAGGCACCCGGUGUGGUCUUCUGCUGCUGUUGUCCAUCUGUUUCAAGGUUCAAAAUGUUGUGUGUUCAGAGAUGCUCUUCUGCAUACUUUGAUUGUAACCACUGGUUAUUUGAAGCAGCCUGACCUUUCCGUUUUGAUCUCUCUGGUAUCAGUGAGGCAUUUUCAUCAUGAAAUACUCAUACUAACUCAUCCGACACAAUCAAAGCCAUUUAAAUCAUCUGUUAUCCCCACUGUGAUGUUCAGUUUGAACUUCAGCAGCUCGUCUGCCCCAUGUCAACGUGCCUAAAUGCAUUGAGUCGCUGCUGUGGGAUUGGCUGACUAAAUAUUUGCAUUACCAAACAGUUUAACAGGUGUACCUAAUAAGUAGUCAGUGAAUGUAUAUGUAUGUGAUCAGGAAGGGCAAUGUUAAUCUUGUCUGUUAGAUGCGCACUUGUAUAGCAGUGGAGUAUAAACUAAACUGAACAUUAUACUCUGAUGAAUCAGACUUGUUUCAAAAUAACUCCCAGGUAAUCAAGAGUAAUUAUUUGCGCCUUCCCCACAGGCUGUACACAAUACAAAUGAAACUGCCAAAGUACGUAAUUGAAUUACAAGCACGAUCAAAGCCGGCACACAGAAUGGGUGUAAAUGAAAACUGUGUAGGGCGUGCUAACAUUUUUGCAGCCUCUUUGAAAUGUAUUAAUACAAAUUUAAAAACAAAAGGCCCUGCACAUCCACAUGUGUGUUCUCAGUAAUAAUUGAAUCAUUAGUUACCUGGAACUGCCUGGAACUUAAAAAGCCUAGUUAUGUGAUGAUAUAUAGCUAUAGUUAUGUAAAUUGUCCCACCCAAACAGGUGAAAAAUAGCCAGCAGGAGAAGCAGGAAACUGUCAAUUGAGCACAAGUGGGAAUACACCAUGAGAAGAGGUGUAAUCACGAAACGAUAAAGAGUCGUGCUGGAAAUUGUUGAUUUGAAUGUGGCCGGUGAUGCAAGAGCAGUAAAAUGAAUUCUCCAACCACAGAGGACAAUACAGCAGCGCUGUGAGUGACCGAAGUAGCACGAGAGUUUAGUUCACCAAGACAUUAAAAAAUCAGUUAAUUAGGAAAUAUCUCAUUAUGUUUGAUACCAAAGUUAAUGUUGCCAUGCCGUAGAAGGAGGAUCAGCAGUAUCUGUACUUUAAACAACAAGUCACAUGUGGAUGGGCCUUCAGCAGUAGAUGUUGCUUUGUCCAGAUUGUUUUAUUGUUGUUGUUUUUAAUCAGGGCUGCGUUGAGAUCCUGAUAACAAGCAGUUUGGCAGUUUAAUCGGGAGUCCUGCUCUGAUUGUGAAUUUCAUCAGUACUGACACACCUCUACAAAACUAUGUACUGUAGAUAGCUAUCAGUAUAAAGGCUCAGUAGCUGUAGUAUUUCAAUAGCUCAUUAGUUUGUUGCCAGUUUUUCCAGUUACAGUUUAACGUUGCCUUAGUUGGAAUAUGCAGGGUGAGGUGGAAAAAUGCUGUUCUGUGUUUUUAUCUUUUUUGCAAUAAUUUGGCCUUGAGCUUGAACCAAGUGAAAACAAAGCUCCAUAUUAACUUCCUAAGAUGUUCAUCAACACAUAGAUUUCAAUCAGUACAAUCAGAUGUCAGGUACAAGAAUUUUAAACAUUUUUUCUUAUCACAGGGGCGUAGUAUGAAAACAUUAAUGCCGGUCAGGGUGUCAUAUGGAGAUAAUUGGUUACAGUAUCAAACUGUGGUUAGGCAGGCUUCUUGUCCUAGUCCUAGUCUUGUCCUGGUAUGAAAUGCUUGAAAUAUUUCACAUUUUUUCCAGGAAGGCUUAAGUGGGACUUUGUGUAGAGUACAGAAGAAUGAAAAACCCAAACAAGUCCAACGUGUUUCCAUUUGAGGAAACAAUGUGUCAUCUUAGAUAAAUGCAUUUAUUUAAGGACAAUAGUCAUCUUUCCAAAACAUGGCUAUGUUUUUCAAGCUUUUAGGUCUGCUUUGUUUUCACACUUGGCUAGCAAUAGUAAAAGAGCUUCUCUUGUCCCACAUGAAGUCAGAGGUGACACUAGUCAUAAAAGAGUAGGUGCUGCCCUCUUGUGGUGUGUAAGUAAUCUGCAAAAUGGGAGCAGACUUGAGGUGUAAAGAGUACAUACACUGCUCAAAAAAUAACAAAUAAAAAAUGAAAGGAACACUUUUUAAUCAGAGUAUAGCAUCAGGUCAGUUAAACCUCUGAGAUAUUGAUCUGGUCAGUUAAGUAACAAAGGGAUUGUUAAUCAGUUUCAGAUGCUUUGGUAUAAAUGAAAUUUACAACAGGUGCACUAGAGUGGCAACAAUGAGACAAACCACUGACAUUUUUUCCCUGACUGUUUUUUUUAAUCACUAGUUUUGCAUUUGGCUAGUGUCACUACUGGUGGCCAGUGUCACUACUGGUAGCAUAAGUUGAUACCUGAACCCUAUAGAGCUUCCACAGUUAGUCUAAUUCCUCCAGGAUGCCAAAUCAAUACGUCAAUACGUGCCAUUUCCAGAAGGUUUGCUGUGUCCCCCAAGAUAUUCUUAAGCAUGGAGGAGGUUCUAGGAGACAGGCAGUUACUCUAGGAGAGCUGAACAGGGCCAGGAUGAGUCCAGAUAUUGUGUUUUCCGUGUUCUCUCGUGGAUAAAAUAUGGGUUUAUGAGAUUUACAAAUCAAUGCAUUCUGUAUUUAUUUACAUUUUACACAGUGCCACAGCUUUUUAAUGAUUGGGGUUGUAACAACUUUAAAAUUGCGAUAAAGCAGGUGAUAUGACAUGGAAAAUAGACCCACGAGAAACAUGGCACUUCACAAGAGUCUGACAAUUGCUUUGUAUAAUUGUUCAGUCUUGUAAAUUUCUUUCUUUGAAAAAGUUUAGGACAUUUCAAAAAUCAAGUAAAGCUGUCAGCAAAAUGUGAAACAACCAUUAUGACUUUAUGUUCAAAAUGUCUAUAUUUUGUUGAAGAGAUAACAGCUGAAGCAUAACUAGGACUAGGCUGUACUUUUGUGUAAUACCACUUUGUACCACAAGAUGGCU